GCCAUGGGGCAGCCCUGGACGGCUGGGAGCGCGGACGCGGCACCCGCGCAGCUGCCUCUCGUGCUCACCGCGCUGUGGGCCGCGGCCGUGGGCCUGGAGCUGGCUUACGUGCUGGUGCUCGGUCCCGGGCCGCCGCCGCUGGGACCCCUGGCCCGGGCCUUGCAGCUGGCGCUGGCCGCCUUCCAGCUGCUCAACCUGCUGGGCAACGUGGGGCUCUUCCUGCGCUCGGAUCCCAGCAUCCGGGGUGUGAUGCUGGCCGGCCGCGGUCUGGGCCAGGGCUGGGCUUACUGCUACCAGUGCCAAAGCCAGGUGCCGCCACGCAGCGGACACUGCUCUGCCUGCCGCGUCUGCAUCCUGCGUCGGGACCACCACUGCCGCCUGCUGGGCCGCUGCGUGGGCUUCGGCAACUACCGGCCCUUCCUGUGCCUGCUGCUUCAUGCCACCGGCGUCCUGCUCCACGUCUCUGUGCUGCUGGGCCCUGCACUGUCGGCCCUGCUGCGAGCCCACACGCCCCUCCACAUGGCUGCCCUCCUCCUGCUUCCCUGGCUCAUGUUGCUCACAGGAGUCCCAGCCCUCCAGACGCACGGCCCUACCACCUUGUAGUCAACACUCACUCCCCUCAGUCACGGAAGACUCUGGCUCCAGUCACAGACUCUCUCAGCCCUGGGCCCUGUGGAAAUCAGGGGUGUCUGGAAGUUUGCAUGAACAGCCCCCUCAAUGCCUGGAUGGCUUAGCUCUUGGCCUCCUCCUCCAUUUUUCCUUCCUUCCCUCCUCCCAUGUCCACACCCCAGUCCUGGUCAGAAUCCAAAAAUGAGUCACCCCCACAAACCACCCAUCUUCCUCGUUCUGCUCCCCACUUCCUCUCCUCUCCGUCUUUUACUCCUCCACGCCCUGGCACCUGCUC
This 904-nucleotide small RNA is filed under the name Pongo abelii (Sumatran orangutan). Its description in RNAcentral is "processed transcript". The record is from RNAcentral. Lineage: Eukaryota; Metazoa; Chordata; Mammalia; Primates; Hominidae.